This 480-nucleotide ribosomal RNA is filed under the name uncultured bacterium. RNAcentral's name for it is "partial 16S ribosomal RNA". It matches the Rfam family "Bacterial small subunit ribosomal RNA", at positions 28 to 523 of the family's 1533-position model. The record is from RNAcentral.
GACGAACGCUGGCGGCGUGCUUAACACAUGCAAGUCGAACGGUGAAAGCGGAGCUUGCUCCGCUGGAUCAGUGGCGAACGGGUGAGUAACACGUGGGCAACCUGCCCUUCACUUCGGGAUAACUCCGGGAAACCGGGGCUAAUACCGGAGAUGACCUCUGCGGGCAUCCGCGGCGGUGGAAAGUUUUUCGGUGAAGGAUGGGCCCGCGGCCUAUCAGCUUGUUGGUGGGGUAGUGGCUCACCAAGGCGACGACGGGUAGCCGGCCUGAGAGGGCGACCGGCCACACUGGGACUGAGACACGGCCCAGACUCCUACGGGAGGCAGCAGUGGGGAAUAUUGCGCAAUGGGCGAAAGCCUGACGCAGCAACGCCGCGUGCGGGAUGACGGCCUUCGGGUUGUAAACUGCUUUUCUGUUUGAAGAAUUCGUGACGGUAAAACAGGAAUAAGAGGUUGCUAACUCUGUGCCAGCCGCCGCGGUAA